Molecule: ribosomal RNA, 756 nt
Filed under: uncultured Bacteroidota bacterium
Lineage: Bacteria; Pseudomonadati; Bacteroidota
Description: bacterial SSU rRNA
Rfam family: Bacterial small subunit ribosomal RNA
Source: RNAcentral
GAUGAACGCUAGCGAUAGGCCUAACACAUGCAAGUCGAGGGGCAGCAAAGGGUAGCAAUACUCUGUUGGCGACCGGCGCACGGGUGAGUAACGCGUAUGCAACCUACCUACUACAGGGGAAUAACCCGGAGAAAUUCGGACUAAUACCGCAUAAUACAGGGGUCCCGCAUGGGAAUAUUUGUUAAAGAUUUAUCGGUAGUAGAUGGGCAUGCGUUCCAUUAGCCAGUUGGUGAGGUAACGGCUCACCAAAGCAACGAUGGAUAGGGGAACUGAGAGGUUUAUCCCCCACACUGGAACUGAGACACGGACCAGACUCCUACGGGAGGCAGCAGUGAGGAAUAUUGGUCAAUGGACGAGAGUCUGAACCAGCCAAAUCGCGUGAAGGAAGACUGCCUUAUGGGUUGUAAACUUCUUUUAUACAGGAAUAAAAAGAGUUACGUGUAACUUAUUGCAUGUACUGUAUGAAUAAGCAUCGGCUAACUCCGUGCCAGCAGCCGCGGUAAUACGGAGGAUGCGAGCGUUAUCCGGAUUUAUUGGGUUUAAAGGGUGCGCAGGCGGGAUCUUAAGUCAGCGGUGAAAUUUUCAGGCUCAACCUGAACACUGCCGUUGAAACUGGGAUUCUUGAGUAUAGAUGAAGUAGGCGGAAUUCGUUGUGUAGCGGUGACAUGCUUAGAUAUAACGAGGAACUCCAAUUGCGUAGGCAGCUUACUAAGCUAUAACUGACGCUCAAGCACGAAAGCGUGGGGAUCAAACAGG